Molecule: unclassified non-coding RNA, 401 nt
Filed under: Hevea brasiliensis (rubber tree)
Lineage: Eukaryota; Viridiplantae; Streptophyta; Magnoliopsida; Malpighiales; Euphorbiaceae
Source: RNAcentral
GAGCAUAAAACUUGGAUUAUAAUUAAGAGUUAUUCUAUACAGAGGGAAUUAAGUGAAAAAGAAAACCUGGAUUAUACAAUAGCAAGAACAACUGACUUGUAUUCUACUAUCAUUGUUAAUUACCCUCACAGAAACCCAAUUUUUUACAUUUGAAACAGAGACCAGAGUUCAAGCAAGGUUUAGUAUUGCAGCUGGCUGCAUUUUCUAUACCAAAGUAUCUUCCUUAAUCAGUAUUAUCAUGAACCACCAACACUCCCAAUUCUUCACUACCACCAAAACUCUAUCAAUUUGCCACCAUCAAUAUGCACUUUCCUUUAGAUUAGUUAAAGAUCUAUACAUCAUAUACUGGUAACCUUUCUUCGAUAACCACGCGACAUAUUGGGCACUUUUUACACUUCUCA